AGCGGCGGACGGGUGAGUAACACGUGGGUAACCAACCUGGUUGAGGGGGAUAGGCUUCCGAAAGGGAGAUUAAAACCGCAUAAUAUUUAAGUAUUGCAUGAUACAUAAAAGAAAAGAGAAAUCUGCAACCAGACGGGCCCGCGGCGCAUUAGCUAGUUGGUAAGGUAAAGGCUUACCAAGGCGACGAUGCGUAGCCGACCUGAGAGGGUGAACGGCCACAUUGGAACUGAGAGACGGUCCAG
RNAcentral lists this ribosomal RNA (242 nucleotides) under uncultured bacterium. Its description in RNAcentral is "partial 16S ribosomal RNA". It matches the Rfam family "Bacterial small subunit ribosomal RNA", at positions 94 to 334 of the family's 1533-position model. The record is from RNAcentral.